Non-coding RNA from Lactarius psammicola, 104 nucleotides. The record is from the annotation of a GenBank genome assembly. Lineage: Eukaryota; Fungi; Basidiomycota; Agaricomycetes; Russulales; Russulaceae.
GCUGAUAUGGCCGAGUCGUUAAGGCGAGUGAUUUGAAUCACGUUAUCAAUGUGACAAACAUCACUUGGGCGUUGCCCGCGUAGGUUCAAAUCCUGCUGUCAGCG